Molecule: ribosomal RNA, 659 nt
Filed under: Holcoglossum singchianum
Lineage: Eukaryota; Viridiplantae; Streptophyta; Magnoliopsida; Asparagales; Orchidaceae
Description: eukaryotic LSU rRNA
Rfam family: 5.8S ribosomal RNA (bases 239-394)
Source: RNAcentral
UCGAGACCGAAAAUAUAUCGAGCGAUUCGGAGAACCUGUGAAAUAAGCGGCGGCGGCAGUCGCCGCGAAACAGCCGUCCCCGCCGUCGCCCCCCCCUCGUCUGGAGGGGGCCGCGACGGGGCACGGCUGAAACCCCAAACCGGCGCAGAUUGGCGCCAAGGUAACUAGCGAAAAGCACGAGCCCGGCAUCGGGUCUUCGUGGGGCGGAGCGGUGUUAGCGCACCGCACGUAUUGACACGACUCUCGACAAUGGAUAUCUCGGCUCUCGCAUCGAUGAAGAGCGCAGCGAAAUGCGAUACGUGGUGCGAAUUGCAGAAUCCCGCGAACCAUCGAGUCUUUGAACGCAAGUUGCGCCCGAGGCCAAUCGGUCGAGGGCACGUCCGCCUGGGCGUCAACCGCCGCGUCGCUCCGUGCCAAGUCCCCACCGUUCCCACCGCAGUGGGGGGUGCCGGGCGAGGCUCGGAUGUGCAGAGUGGCCCGUCGUGCCCACCGGUGCGGCGGGCUGAAGAGCGGGUUAUCUUCUCAUUGGCCACGAACAACGAGGGGUGGAUGAAAGCUGCCGCGGGCGAGGCCCGCGUUGUCUCGUGCCGGCCCGAGUGAAGAUUACACCCUCCGUGCGAUCCCAUCCCACGCGCCGCCCCCGUGCGGCGGCUUGGAAU